CAUCGAGUCAUUUUGAAAUAGGUCCUAGGCUGUUCAGGUAAACUAACCAGGCAUCAAAGAGGAAGUUAAUUCUGGACUCAGGUCAGCUAAAUUCAACAUGAGAAAAACGUGUACACUUACAGUCAGGAUACAGAAUGGCAGAACCAUCAGAUUUCUCCCACGGCUCAUAAGUCACUUGGCUUGCUGCUCUACCUGUAAGAGGCACCACUGCACAGACCAUUUCACAAAGUGAAAGGACUGAAGACUGUUUACUGAAGAUGCAGAGACCAAGUUAAACCAGGCUUGAUCUUUCUCAGCACCAAAGUACAAGUCAUCCUAGCAGAUAAAACAAAAAGGGUGUUUUCCCUUCCAUAAAAAACACUAACUUAACCACAACUUACUCUUUAUAUUCACAGGACUUUCAGAGCUUAAAUUUGUUGCUGCCAGAAUACAAGAAACUUUGUUGCUUUAGGAUAGAUUAUAGAACAGGACAUCCUAGUGCAAUGUUAUAAUCCUAGAAGUCUUUUUGCUUCUUCACUCUGUGCCAUCAGAGUUUCACUAGCAUACUUCUGAAGAAGCUCCAUCUUCUUCCUCCGUACAAGAGCUUCCUCAAUCUCCUGUUGAGAUGGCACUGGAACAUGUGCAAUAAAUUUCUGUUGGCCGUCUUCGCCUUCUUUUUCUUUGCCACCCUCCUCAUCAGACUCAUCAUCAACAGCGUAGAUAUUUUCUUCCUCUUCCUCCUCCUCCUCCCCUCUCGCAAGUCUUGCCUCCCUCUCCAUUUUCCAUUUUUCCACUGCUUCUGCUAUAACUUUCUUCUCAUGUUCUUGUUCCAGGGGCUCUAGAAUGCCAUCAUCUUCAUCCCUGUAGCCAUAGUAUUCUGCAUCAAUGGAUUUCAUCAGUUCCGCACGGGUUUUCCGGGGUGGUGGGAGGGGCUCCUUCUCAAAAAGUUCUCUAACUCCUGGUAAAUCCUUUGCAGCUCCAAAGUAUUUGUAACCUCUGUUCCCUGGAACUUCCUUCCCCUCGUGAUCUAACAUCCUCGGUCCAAUUCUAGCAUAAUCAGGACCUCCCAGCUCCCUUAUUCGGACUUCCCAGUGCCCUUUUUCCCUCAGAAGUUUGUUUAUUUCAUCAUUCAGGUCCCGAAUUCUGAAUUCACCCAAUCCAGCAUUUUGAAUCUGUGCCACUUUCUUGGAGAUUUCCCCAAUGAUCUGCCGUCUCCACUUCUCAGCUUUUGGCAAUUCAUUACACUCUGAUGCAAGGAAAGGUCUUCGUUCCUUAACUUUUCCUUCUUCAAGCUGAGCUUGAC
This 1282-nucleotide long non-coding RNA is filed under the name Gallus gallus (chicken). The record is from RNAcentral. Lineage: Eukaryota; Metazoa; Chordata; Aves; Galliformes; Phasianidae.